Molecule: non-coding RNA, 71 nt
Organism: Stegodyphus mimosarum
Lineage: Eukaryota; Metazoa; Arthropoda; Arachnida; Araneae; Eresidae
Source: Rfam
GCCUUCGUGGUAUAACGGUAGCACACUCGGCGAGAAUUCGAGAGGUCCAGGUUCGAGUCCCGGCGAGGGCA